This 940-nucleotide ribosomal RNA is filed under the name uncultured bacterium. Its description in RNAcentral is "bacterial SSU rRNA". It matches the Rfam family "Bacterial small subunit ribosomal RNA", at positions 15 to 947 of the family's 1533-position model. The record is from RNAcentral.
GAUCCUGGCUCAGAUUGAACGCUGGCGGCAGGCCUAACACAUGCAAGUCGAACGGUAACAGGAAGAAGCUUGCUUCUUUGCUGACGAGUGGCGGACGGGUGAGUAAUGUCUGGGAAACUGCCUGAUGGAGGGGGAUAACUACUGGAAACGGUAGCUAAUACCGCAUAACGUCGCAAGACCAAAGAGGGGGACCUUCGGGCCUCUUGCCAUCGGAUGUGCCCAGAUGGGAUUAGCUAGUAGGUGGGGUAACGGCUCACCUAGGCGACGAUCCCUAGCUGGUCUGAGAGGAUGACCAGCCACACUGGAACUGAGACACGGUCCAGACUCCUACGGGAGGCAGCAGUGGGGAAUAUUGCACAAUGGGCGCAAGCCUGAUGCAGCCAUGCCGCGUGUAUGAAGAAGGCCUUCGGGUUGUAAAGACUUUUCAGCGGGGAGGAAGGGAGUAAAGUUAAUACCUUUGCUCAUUGACGUUACCCGCAGAAGAAGCACCGGCUAACUCCGUGCCAGCAGCCGCGGUAAUACGGAGGGUGCAAGCGUUAAUCGGAAUUACUGGGCGUAAAGCGGACGCAGGCGGCUUGUUAAGUCAGAUGUGAAAUCCCCGGGCUCAACCUGGGAACUGCAUCUGAUACUGGCAAGCUUGAGUCUCGUAGAGGGGGGUAGAAUUCCAGGUGUAGCGGUGAAAUGCGUAGAGAUCUGGAGGAAUACCGGUGGCGAAGGCGGCCCCCUGGACGAAGACUGACGCUCAGGUGCGAAAGCGUGGGGAGCAAACAGGAUUAGAUACCCUGUAGUCCACGCCGUAACGAUGUCGACUUGGAGGUGUGCCCUUGAGGCGUGGCUUCCGGAGCUAACGCGUUAAGUCGACCGCCUGGGGAGUACGGCCGCAAGGUUAAAACUCAAAUGAAUUGACGGGGGCCCGCACAAGCGGUGGAGCAUGUGGUUU